AUGCUUUAAACUUUCAAGUAAGGAAAAUGGCAAUUUGGGGUGAUGCCAGAAUCCUCACUGCUAAUGUGAGAUGAAUUUUUGAGCAGGUAAAAGUCAUCCCUGGAGUGACCCACCUACUUUGUGGAAUGCCUGGGAGCUGCAUUCUGCCCG
This is a small nuclear RNA of Ochotona princeps (American pika), 150 nucleotides long. RefSeq annotates it as U12 minor spliceosomal RNA. Lineage: Eukaryota; Metazoa; Chordata; Mammalia; Lagomorpha; Ochotonidae. The record is from RefSeq and is a predicted model, not a curated record. The transcript has a single exon.